GCCCUCUACAGCCUUCUGCAGCAGUCCAAGCGCAGCGAUGGCAUCACGGGAGUUCCGAGCGACCACCACAGCCUCCAGGAGGCUGCGUAAUGCUUGAGCUUGAGGAUUCAUGGCCAGAGUAUGGGGAAUGGACUGUAGGUGCUGCUCCAGUUCUGUCAUGCAUUUGUCAUAGAUUUGUGCUACAUCAUCUGUGGCCCAAGCUUGCUUCAUAGGUUGAGCCAAGAAUCCUGUAGGCUGAGUUAAGUCAUUGGUAGGCAAGAAGCCGGGGACGUUACGUGCGAACUCUUCGUAAACAGCCAGCUGUUUUGGGUCCACACCUCCAACCUUUAACCUGAUCUGUUCUGGCAUCCGUUCA
This 355-nucleotide long non-coding RNA is filed under the name Gallus gallus (chicken). The record is from RNAcentral. Lineage: Eukaryota; Metazoa; Chordata; Aves; Galliformes; Phasianidae.